Caenorhabditis elegans is the source of this 134-nucleotide non-coding RNA. Lineage: Eukaryota; Metazoa; Nematoda; Chromadorea; Rhabditida; Rhabditidae. The record is from Ensembl.
GGAAAACAACGACACUCCACCACGCGCUAAAUACCGAGCAGUCGUCUUAUUUUCGUUCGGUACCUAUUUUCGACACUGUUUUUGCGAAUUUACUUUCUUUUUUCUUAAUAAUUUUAAUAUUAUCUUUAUCGUGU